CAGCUGACCCUCGUCCGACCAGCCGCCACGUCCUGUAACCAGAAAUGACCGGGAUGAAUGUCUGGCUCCC
RNAcentral lists this long non-coding RNA (70 nucleotides) under Carlito syrichta (Philippine tarsier). RNAcentral describes it as "H19 conserved region 2 (ENSTSYG00000027935.1)". It matches the Rfam family "H19 conserved region 2". The record is from RNAcentral. Lineage: Eukaryota; Metazoa; Chordata; Mammalia; Primates; Tarsiidae.